AUUGGAAAUUAAACAGAUAGAUACUCCAAUACAGUCAAUACUAGGUAACAGAAGUCAGGCUGAAAGGUGUUAUAACAGAUUAAACCAGUGGACCCUAUUUUCAGUUAAGCUGUGGUUUAGGCUGCUGAAGAAAUUACAAUUGGAGAAACAUGCGGGGGUCUUGGGUUGGGAGAGGUAUCACGUCUUUCUGUUCAGUCACCUCAAAAGGUCAACUACAGAGCUAUCAGGAUUUAGCAGAUACAUUUGGACUGGAAAAGCAGGACUUUUUCAGGUACCUGCAAGUUAGAGAUUACUUUAAGAAAAAAAUACAAAGCAUAAAAACAAACGAU
This is a long non-coding RNA of Sebastes umbrosus (honeycomb rockfish), 329 nucleotides long. RefSeq lists it as uncharacterized. The record is from RefSeq and is a predicted model, not a curated record. The transcript is spliced from 2 exons. Lineage: Eukaryota; Metazoa; Chordata; Actinopteri; Perciformes; Sebastidae.